Long non-coding RNA from Photinus pyralis (common eastern firefly), 479 nucleotides. RefSeq lists it as uncharacterized. The record is from RefSeq and is a predicted model, not a curated record. The transcript is spliced from 2 exons. Lineage: Eukaryota; Metazoa; Arthropoda; Insecta; Coleoptera; Lampyridae.
UAAAGCCAAAACAAACAUUAAGCAUAAUGAAAUCAUACUAAUAGUGAGACCAUUGUUUAAAUCUUUAAAUACGUUGCAAACAGCUACAUUGCAUUUCAUAUAAUCGCUGCCUGGGCUUCGAUCGCCGACUCAAAGUCCAUUGAAAUGAAUAAGGAACAUUGUACUGUACAUAUUGGGGAUUAAUUUUGAAAGAAAUAUUGCCGGAUGCAUGAGAGAAUGUGAAACAUCCAAGACCAAAAAGACCACCGAAGUCCCAUCUAGCGUUAUAUUACAUGGAGAAACAAAUUAAAAAUUGCAUGUUGUUCUCAAGCUUAAUUUAUUUCUGAUGGAAAAAAACCUGAAUUAUUUAAAUAAGUGUAAUUUAAGUGAUUUGAGAAGUCAAGGUUUUGAAUUCCGAAGAUUUGAUGAUACCUACACUCAAAGAUCUAAUAGGCGAUUAAUUGUUCAAGAUAUGGCAGAAUUCAUUGAGUUAAUUCUGA